This 406-nucleotide ribosomal RNA is filed under the name uncultured bacterium. RNAcentral describes it as "partial 16S ribosomal RNA". It matches the Rfam family "Bacterial small subunit ribosomal RNA", at positions 30 to 526 of the family's 1533-position model. The record is from RNAcentral.
AUUGAACGCUGGCGGCAGGCCUAACACAUGCAAGUCGAGCGAGCGGCGGACGGGUGAGUAAUGUCUGGGAAACUGCCUGAUGGAGGGGGAGAACUCUUGGAAACGGUAGCUAAUACCGCAUACCAUCAGAUGUGUCCCGAUGGGAUUAGCUGGUAGGUGGGGUAACGGCUCACCUAGGCGACGAUCCCUAGCUGGUCUGAGAGGAUGACCAGCCACACUGGAACUGAGACACGGGCCAGACUCCUACGGGAGGCAGCAGUGGGGAAUAUUGCACAAUGGGCGCAAGCCUGAUGCAGCCAUGCCGCGUGUGUGAAGAAGGCCUUCGGGUUGUAAAGCACUUUCAGCGGGGAGGCGUUACCCGCAGAAGAAGCACCGGCUAACUCCGUGCCAGCCGCCGCGGUAAUUC